AGAGUUUGAUCCUGGCUCAGAACGAACGCUGGCGGCAGUGCCUAACACAUGCAAGUCGAACGGGAUCUUCGGAUCUAGUGGCGGACGGGUGAGUAACGCGUGGGAGACGUGCCCUUUGCUUCGGAAUAGCCCCGGGAAACUGGGAGUAAUACCGGAUACGCCCUUUGGGGGAAAGAUCUAUCGGCAAAGGAUCGGCCCGCGUUGGAUGAGGUAGUUGGUGGGGUAAUGGCCUACCAAUCCGACGAUCCAUAGCUGGUUUGAGAGGAUGAUCAGCCACACUGGGACUGAGACACGGCCAGACUCCUACGGGAGGCAGCAGUGGGGAAUCUUAGACAAUGGGGGAAACCCUGAUCUAGCCAUGCCGCGUGAGCGAUGAAGGCCUUAGGGUUGUAAAGCUCUUUCAGUGGGGAAGAUAAUGACGGUACCCACAGAAGAAGCCCCGGCUAACUCCGUGCCAGCAGCCGCGGUAAUACGGAGGGGGCUAGCGUUGUUCGGAAUUACUGGGCGUUAAAGCGCACGUAGGCGGAUUGGAAAGUUGGGGGUGAAAUCCCGGGACCAACCCCCGGAACUGCCCUUCAAAACUCCCAGUCUUGAGGGUCGAGAGAUGGUGAGUUGGAAUUCCGAAGUGUAGANGUUGA
This 638-nucleotide ribosomal RNA is filed under the name uncultured Alphaproteobacteria bacterium. Its description in RNAcentral is "bacterial SSU rRNA". It matches the Rfam family "Bacterial small subunit ribosomal RNA", at positions 8 to 685 of the family's 1533-position model. The record is from RNAcentral. Lineage: Bacteria; Pseudomonadati; Pseudomonadota; Alphaproteobacteria.